UAGACCGCCUGGGGAGUACGGCCGCAAGGUUAAAACUCAAAUGAAUUGACGGGGGCCCGCACAAGCGGUGGAGCAUGUGGUUUAAUUCGAUGCAACGCGAAGAACCUUACCUGGUCUUGACAUCCACAGAAUUCUGCAGAGAUGCGGAAGUGCCUUCGGGAACUGUGAGACAGGUGCUGCAUGGCUGUCGUCAGCUCGUGUUGUGAAAUGUUGGGUUAAGUCCCGCAACGAGCGCAACCCUUAUCCUUUGUUGCCAGCGGUCCGGCCGGGAACUCAAAGGAGACUGCCAGU
This 291-nucleotide ribosomal RNA is filed under the name Salmonella enterica subsp. enterica serovar Lubbock. RNAcentral's name for it is "partial 16S ribosomal RNA". It matches the Rfam family "Bacterial small subunit ribosomal RNA", at positions 865 to 1156 of the family's 1533-position model. The record is from RNAcentral. Lineage: Bacteria; Pseudomonadati; Pseudomonadota; Gammaproteobacteria; Enterobacterales; Enterobacteriaceae.